GACGAACGCUGGCGGCAUGCCUAAUACAUGCAAGUCGAGCGAACAGAUGAAGUGCUUGCACUUCUGACGUUAGCGGCGAACGGGUGAGUAACACGUAAGGAAUCUACCUAUAAGCGGGGGAUAACAUUCGGAAACGGGUGCUAGUACCGCAUAAUAUCUUCUUCCGCAUGGAAGAAGAUUGAAAGACGGCUCUGCUGUCACUUGUAGAUGACCUUGCGGUGCAUUAGUUAGUUGGUGGGGUAACGGCCUACCAAGACGAUGAUGCAUAGCCGACCUGAGAGGGUGAUCGGCCACAUUGGGACUGAGACACGGCCCAAACGCCUACGGGAGGCAGCAGUAGGGAAUCUUCCGCAAUGGGCGAAAGCCUGACGGAGCAAUGCCGCGUGAGUGAAGAAGGCCUUCGGGUCGUAAAACUCUGUUAUAAGAGAAGAACAAAUUGUAGAGUAACUGCUACAGUCUUGACGGUAUCUUAUCAGAAAGCCACGGCUAACUACGUGCCAGCCGCCGCCGUAA
This 513-nucleotide ribosomal RNA is filed under the name uncultured bacterium. Its description in RNAcentral is "partial 16S ribosomal RNA". It matches the Rfam family "Bacterial small subunit ribosomal RNA", at positions 28 to 523 of the family's 1533-position model. The record is from RNAcentral.